UGAUCCUGGCUCAGAUUGAACGCUGGCGGCAGGCCUAACACAUGCAAGUCGAACGGUAACAGGAUAGCUUGCUAUCGCUGACGAGUGGCGGACGGGUGAGUAAUACUUAGGGAUCUGCCUCUGUGUGGGGGAUAACUAUUGGAAACGAUAGCUAAUACCGCAUAAUGUCUACGGACCAAAGCGGGCUUCGGCUCGUGCGCAGAGAGGAACCUAAGCGAGAUUAGCUAGUUGGUGAGGUAAAGGCUCACCAAGGCGACGAUCUCUAGCUGUUCUGAGAGGAAGAUCAGCCACACUGGAACUGAGACACGGUCCAGACUCCUACGGGAGGCAGCAGUGGGGAAUAUUGCACAAUGGGGGAAACCCUGAUGCAGCCAUGCCGCGUGUGUGAAGAAGGCCUUCGGGUUGUAAAGCACUUUCAGUUGUGAGGAAAGUUUAGUAGUUAAUACCUGCUAGAUGUGACGUUAGCAACAGAAGAAGCACCGGCUAACUCCGUGCCAGCAGCCGCGGUAAUACGGAGGGUGCGAGCGUUAAUCGGAAUUACUGGGCGUAAAGCGCACGCAGGCGGUCUGUUAAGCUAGAUGUGAAAGCCCCGCGCUCAACGUGGGAGGGUCAUUUAGAACUGGCAAACUAGAGUCUUGGAGAGGGGAGUGGAAUUCCAGGUGUAGCGGUGAAAUGCGUAGAGAUCUGGAGGAACAUCAAUGGCGAAGGCAACUCCCUGGCCAAAGACUGACGCUCAUGUGCGAAAGUGUGGGUAGCGAACAGGAUUAGAUACCCUGGUAGU
Molecule: ribosomal RNA, 781 nt
Filed under: uncultured marine bacterium
Lineage: Bacteria
Description: bacterial SSU rRNA
Rfam family: Bacterial small subunit ribosomal RNA
Source: RNAcentral